Molecule: ribosomal RNA, 567 nt
Filed under: uncultured Gammaproteobacteria bacterium
Lineage: Bacteria; Pseudomonadati; Pseudomonadota; Gammaproteobacteria
Description: bacterial SSU rRNA
Rfam family: Bacterial small subunit ribosomal RNA
Source: RNAcentral
GGGACCCGCACAAGCGCUGGAUGAUGUGGAUUAAUUCGAUGCAACGCGAAGAACCUUACCUGGUCUUGACAUGUCAGGAAUCCUGCAGAGAUGCGGGAGUGCCUUCGGGAACCUGAACACAGGUGCUGCAUGGCUGUCGUCAGCUCGUGUCGUGAGAUGUUGGGUUAAGUCCCGCAACGAGCGCAACCCUUGUCACUAGUUGCUACGAAAGGGCACUCUAGUGAGACUGCCGGUGACAAACCGGAGGAAGGUGGGGAUGACGUCAAGUCCUCAUGGCCCUUAUGACCAGGGCCUCACACGUCAUACAAUGGUCGGUACAGAGGGUAGCCAACCCGCGAGGGGGAGCCAAUCCCAGAAAGCCGAUCGUAGUCCGGAUUGCAGUCUGCAACUCGACUGCAUGAAGUCGGAAUCGCUAGUAAUCGCAGGUCAGCAUACUGCGGUGAAUACGUUCCCGGGUCUUGUACACACCGCCCGUCACACCAUGGGAGUGGGUUGCUCCAGAAGUAGUUAGCCUAACCGCAAGGAGGGCGAUUACCACGGAGUGGUUCAUGACUGGGGUGAAGUCGU